CCAAACGCGACUUCCGCGAGCGACACGACUGAUUUGCAUAGAAAGUCAAUGGGGUUGGGCGACUGACGGCGACCAGCGGCGACCAACAUGGCAGCGACACGACUGGGGUGUGCAACGCUACAAGAUUUGAGCUACAUACGGCGACUCCGGCUACUCAAGACGACACAACUGGGGUACAGCGACAGUCGCAGAAGUUCACCACCUGCGGAGCGUUGACCAAUCAGAGACCAGAUCCGCGAGUGACGUGUCCCGGCGGAGGAGAAGCAAAUCGCUGCGGUUGUUUACAAGCAGACUUUCCGCCGUCCUGAGAGUGGCUCAAAUCGUGCAUUUUUUAAUUUCCACCGGAACAUAAAUAGGAAGAAUCUUGUCCGGAGGGAAAGUUCGCCACAACGGUGGCGUUCCUGAUGAGACGUCCUGAAGGGUCUGUUUAUAUAGCGGCAUCUACUGUAGUGCCGUGAAGUGAGCGUUCUUCUCCGUCCUCUCUCUUCUGGAGCCCUUCAUCUCCAAGAGAGACCUCAGCCAACAUGACUGGAGAGGCAGCAGCUGCUGCAGCAGCAAGGUAGCAGGAGAGGAGGAGGAUGGAUCCACUCAUGAUGUUGGUGAUGAUGAUGAGGAGGAGGAUGGACCUUCCUCUGCCUCACCUGGUGCUGCUGCGUCUCCUCCACCUGCCACUGGCCCCUCCUCAUCCACUGCUGCUCCCCAUGACACCGAAGGAAGAGACCAACAGAGGAAGGGGUCCUCUGAUGCUGAAGCUGAGCUCAAACAUCUAAUGUACUCCCUCCACACACCCAGCUCAGAAGAAGGG
Synchiropus splendidus (mandarinfish) is the source of this 805-nucleotide long non-coding RNA. RefSeq lists it as uncharacterized. NCBI's taxonomy places the organism in Eukaryota, Metazoa, Chordata, Actinopteri, Syngnathiformes, Callionymidae. The transcript has 4 exons. The record is from RefSeq and is a predicted model, not a curated record.